RNAcentral lists this ribosomal RNA (301 nucleotides) under uncultured bacterium. RNAcentral describes it as "partial 16S ribosomal RNA". It matches the Rfam family "Bacterial small subunit ribosomal RNA", at positions 509 to 807 of the family's 1533-position model. The record is from RNAcentral.
CAGUCGCCGCGGUAAUACGAAGGGGGCUAGCGUUGCUCGGAAUCACUGGGCGUAAAGGGUGCGUAGGCGGGUCUUUAAGUCAGAGGUGAAAGCCUGGAGCUCAACUCCAGAACUGCCUUUGAUACUGAGGAUCUCGAGUUCGGGAGAGGUGAGUGGAACUGCGAGUGUAGAGGUGAAAUUCGUAGAUAUUCGCAAGAACACCAGUGGCGAAGGCGGCUCACUGGCCCGAUACUGACGCUGAGGCACGAAAGCGUGGGGAGCAAACAGGAUUAGAUACCCCCGUAGUCCCUGUCUCUUAUAC